CUGGAAGACGACCAGGUUGAUAGGUUCGAGGUGGAAGUGCAGCAAUGCAUGCAGCUGACGAAUACUAAUCGGUCGAGGGCUUAUCCU
This 87-nucleotide ribosomal RNA is filed under the name Paenibacillus sp. CF384. RNAcentral's name for it is "23S rRNA. Bacterial LSU". It matches the Rfam family "Bacterial large subunit ribosomal RNA", at positions 2837 to 2925 of the family's 2925-position model. Lineage: Bacteria; Bacillati; Bacillota; Bacilli; Caryophanales; Paenibacillaceae. The record is from RNAcentral.